RNAcentral lists this long non-coding RNA (1004 nucleotides) under Homo sapiens (human). RNAcentral describes it as "HSALNT0185971". Lineage: Eukaryota; Metazoa; Chordata; Mammalia; Primates; Hominidae. The record is from RNAcentral.
GGUCUUGCCAUGAAGGACAUUCAAGCAGUUCUGAGGAGAGGCCCAAGUGAAGAGGAACCAGUUGCCAGCACCACCCUGUCAGCUAUGUUAGGCCCCUGCCUAUAUAAACAAUUUGAUUAAAAACAUAUAUUUAAAAAUUCAUCAGUACAUGUGAGAUAUGAUGAUUUAUCAUUGAAGAUUUAGGAUGAUGGGCAGAGAAAGGCAAUCUGUUUUGUCUAUUGUCCAAUCAGUGCACGUGAAGAUUUGUUACAGUAUCCAGGAAAGACUAAAAAAGACCAAGCCUGUUAAACAACUCCAUCAAAGAAAAACAAGGAAGCCAUCCAGCUUUGUUCUGGACUCAGCAGCUAAGAUGGCAUGAGCUUCAUCGUAAAGCAUAGUUCUAUGUCAUGUCUACUGGAUGAAUCCAAUGUGGCUGGUCCCUUAAUAAUCCCAUUGCAGUUAACACUGAAUCACUAAGGUUUUAUCCAGGAAUAGUACUCAAAGUGCUCAGAUGUUCCUUUAAAUUCAUUUACCUGGGUAACUGCUGAAAGAGAGGCGACUACUGCUGGUAUCUUUAUCUAUGACGUUGAAGUCCCAGUGUUUAUAUAUCCUGAGCAUGGCUGCAUACGUGUACCAGCUUGAGUGAGCAAAAAGGAUGUUCUCAAAUCCAGGAAGAACCUACAGCCAGAAUCAUAGUGGAUUACACAGAUGUACAUAGCUAACUGACUGCAAUUGUCUUAAGUGUAAGAGGCAUACAGGGAUUGUGCCAUUUCAGGUAAUAUACAGCAAAAACAUUCAACUAAGAUGCUUUUGGUUUUGAUUGUGUGUUUACUAUAAGACUAACUGACCAGCCAGCAUUGACUUUGAAGCAAUUAUCAGAUUGUACUUGAACAUGAACUUUGUGCAAACUGGAGAGCACGGCUCCAGGAAGAUUCAAUCUGCUGGAGCAGGUCCGGGUUAGGCAUCAGCAAAUUGGUUUUGGGGUAGAGGUGGUGGGAAGACAAACACAAAUGACAUUUUAACCA